UUCAAUAACUUAAAUGCCCAUGGGCGAUCUGAAUUGACCACGAUGUCGCCCGAUUACAAUUAAGGACAAAGUUUAAUAUGUAUUAAGCCGCGUAUCUGCUCGCAGAGUGGUAACAUGUUCCAUCACUUAUCCAAGCUUGGGUAAACGGGCUUGACCCAACCCCUUGGGUGGAUGAUGGCACAUGGCAAACCAGGAGGGA
This is a non-coding RNA of Anopheles gambiae (African malaria mosquito), 199 nucleotides long. Lineage: Eukaryota; Metazoa; Arthropoda; Insecta; Diptera; Culicidae. The record is from Rfam.